UACGUAGGGGGCAAGCGUUGUCCGGAAUCAUUGGGCGUAAAGAGCGUGUAGGCGGUUCGGUAAGUCGGCUGUGAAAGUCCAGGGCUCAACCCUGGGAUGCCGGUCGAUACUGCCGGACUAGAGUUCGGAAGAGGCGAGUGGAAUUCCCGGUGUAGCGGUGGAAUGCGCAGAUAUCAGAAGGAACACCUAUUGCGAAGGCAGCUCGCUGGGACGUAACUGACGCUGAGACGCGAAAGCGUGGGGAGCAAACAGG
This 253-nucleotide ribosomal RNA is filed under the name uncultured bacterium. RNAcentral's name for it is "partial 16S ribosomal RNA". It matches the Rfam family "Bacterial small subunit ribosomal RNA", at positions 524 to 776 of the family's 1533-position model. The record is from RNAcentral.